Paramuricea clavata is the source of this 85-nucleotide non-coding RNA. Lineage: Eukaryota; Metazoa; Cnidaria; Anthozoa; Malacalcyonacea; Plexauridae. The record is from the annotation of a GenBank genome assembly.
AAACAAAAAUUCAGGGUUUUGAGUGUUUUCCAGGGUUUCCAUGGGGAGCCUGCAUGGAAAUCCUGGAAAACCCUGAAUUUUUGUU